UACAGGUUCAUUUCGGGUGACAUCACGCCUUCCUAAAUACAUUUCUUUUAACACAGAACUAUGAGGCAAAUUUCUGAGAUCAGAAUACAUCCCAGGUGGAAAAUCAGAAGAGAGACAUAUGUGCUCUACACCAGGAUGUCUCUCCGGCUCCCACAGCUAUGCUUCCACACUCGGAUGUUGCAGCUGCAGGUGGCGAGGGAUGCAUUCCUAUUGUUGUUGCCCACGGUUACAACAAAGCUGCUACAUCAGCCAGUCCCUGGUGGGAUUUCCGAGUGACGUCCCCCACAGUGGUCAGCAAGGGAUCUGGAAUAGCCAGGCGUUCUGCUGCAGUGAGGGGCUAUCAUCUCUCUGCUCUAACCUCUCAAGGACAGUCAGGACCACAGGCUGAAGGCACUUCCAAGCCAGGAUUAGCACAGCUUCCCUCCUCCAUCACAUCAUCUGAAGUCCAAAUGCUACUCAGUUACAGUAGCUUACAGGCACAUUUUGUGUUAUUAUCAUUAUUAUUUGGCAGACACCUUUACCCAAGGCGACUUACAGGUGUUACGGAGCAGUAAACGGUUACAAUGCAAGCUUAAUAUUUAAAUACAGUGUAGUUUACAGUAAGUGAAGAUAAUAUACUACUAAAAUACAAUAUGAACUAGGAUGCAACAAGUUAUAUCUACAAUGAUAUAGUAGUGUAAUUGUGCAGAGAUAUAUUGUCACAACCUGUUCUGUUUUUUAUUCAUCGUAAAAUAGGAUUACUGUAGGUUGACUGUGUUAGAAGAGAAGUACAAACCUAUUGAAAAUCCACCUUCUAGACUUUAAUAUGGUAUUUUAUCAAUUUUACUAAAUAUCCCUCAUAUAAAGUUUGCCUUGUUAAAAGCAUUGCAAAGUGUAAUAAAGCUCAGUGGAAGCACGGCAGGCAUGGAAAUAAGACUCCCAUUGCAUAGCAGUUUGAUCCAAUCCUGGUUUUACUAUGAGUUUAAAACACACCUGAGCCUGUUGCUUAUACACUGUGGCUAAUCAAAAUCGUAGUAAAAGCUGGAAUAGAGUUUUUAUUUCCAUUCCUGCAUAAAUGGGUAAGCAUUGCAAAGCCCGGAGAAGUACAGUAAAGUAUAUUAAGAAACAUGGCAAACCAUGGAAAAGUGUGGUAGACGAAUAGCAUAGUUAUGGGACAGUGCAAAAAUAUGGUGCAAAUUAAUCCUGGUGCAUUUUUAUAAGGGAACUUAUCAUGCUUCUGUAUAGCAAUGUAAGUUUAUAAACAUCGCAACCCCCAUGGCUGGCAUUUGGUCUCAUCUUCAACCAUAGGGGCUCAUAUACUCAGACACAAGUGCAUGUGUUAUAUAUGAAACUGAAGAAGCAAGUGCAUUUUCAUAGUAAACUGUACAGCUAUGGCCAAAAGUUUUGCAUCACCCUACAGAACUGACUAAUUUUGCUUCAUAAAGUCGAAUGAAUCCUGCCGGAUAAUGUUACGUUAACAUAUUGAAUUGCAUACCGCUUUGUAGUUUUCCAAAAAUUGAAAAAUGUGACAGUUUGA
This is a long non-coding RNA of Acipenser ruthenus (sterlet), 1516 nucleotides long. RefSeq lists it as uncharacterized. The transcript has 3 exons. Lineage: Eukaryota; Metazoa; Chordata; Actinopteri; Acipenseriformes; Acipenseridae. The record is from RefSeq and is a predicted model, not a curated record.